GAUGAACGCUGGCGGCGUGCCUAACACAUGCAAGUCGAGCGAUUCUCUUCGGAGAAGAGCGGCGGACGGGUGAGUAACGCGUGGGUAACCUGCCCUGUACACACGGAUAACAUACCGAAAGGUAUGCUAAUACGAGAUAAUAUGCUUUUAUCGCAUGGUAGAAGUAUCAAAGCUCCGGCGGUACAGGAUGGACCCGCGUCUGAUUAGCUAGUUGGUAAGGUAACGGCUUACCAAGGCGACGAUCAGUAGCCGACCUGAGAGGGUGAUCGGCCACAUUGGAACUGAGACACGGUCCAAACUCCUACGGGAGGCAGCAGUGGGGAAUAUUGCACAAUGGGCGAAAGCCUGAUGCAGCAACGCCGCGUGAGCGAUGAAGGCCUUCGGGUCGUAAAGCUCUGUCCUCAAGGAAGAUAAUGACGGUACUUGAGGAGGAAGCCCCGGCUAACUACGUGCCAGCAGCCGCG
RNAcentral lists this ribosomal RNA (464 nucleotides) under uncultured bacterium. RNAcentral's name for it is "bacterial SSU rRNA". It matches the Rfam family "Bacterial small subunit ribosomal RNA", at positions 28 to 519 of the family's 1533-position model. The record is from RNAcentral.